AGCUCCAAUAGCGUAUACUAACGUUGUUGCAGUUAAAGCUCGUAGUUGGAUUCCUUUCGACUCUCAGUUUGAUCUGCCUUCGCGGCAGUUCUACUGUAGAGAAGAAAAUAUGUCUAACAUCCCCCGGUCAUUUAGUUAUGGUUGGGGUGGUGGAAGGCUCGUUUACUUUGAGAAAAUUAGAGUGUUCAAAGCAGGCAUUUUGCUUGAAUAUGUUAGCAUGGAAUAAUAGCAUAGGACUUAUCCGGUUCUAUUUGUUGGUUGUUUACGAACUGAAGUAAUGAUUGAUAGGGACGGUUGGGGGCAUCCGUAUUCUCAAGCGAGAGGUGAAAUUCUUGGACCUUGGGAAGACGAACAGCUGCGAAAGCGUUUGCCUAGGACGUUCUCU
Molecule: ribosomal RNA, 385 nt
Filed under: uncultured eukaryote
Lineage: Eukaryota
Description: SSU rRNA
Rfam family: Eukaryotic small subunit ribosomal RNA
Source: RNAcentral